GGCAAGAAGUGUCGGCUCCUGACAAUGUUCAGUAUGACAGCGUCCUUCUUCCUGGUGGAGCUGAUAGUCGGGUACAUAACCAACUCCAUGGCGCUGGUGGCUGACAGUUUUCACAUGCUCAGUGAUGUUCUGGCGCUUAUUAUAGCUUUCUUAAGUGUCAAGAUGUCUCCAAAAAAAUGGAGUAAAAACACAUUUGGUUGGGCGAGAGCUGAGGUCUUGGGCGCCCUCGUCAACAGCGUGUUUCUUCUUGCACUUUGCUUCUCUAUAUUUGUGGAGUCAUUAAAAAGAUUAUAUGAAACAGAGGAACUUCACAACCCCCAAAUGAUCCUAAUUGUUGGGGUAAUAGGAUUGGUCAUCAACUUAAUAGGCCUCUUGCUUUUUCAUGAACAUGGACACGGCCAUAGCCACGGUGGACACGGCCAUAGCCACGGUAGUCACGAAAACAAGCUUUCUACUAUCAACGCUCUGGUAGCCACGGAUGACAAUGAAAAUGAUGAAAGAUUCACCCCUCCACCCCCCAACUCCCUCUCUAGUCCAGAGAAAGGAGAAGACAAUAACAAAAGUGCCUCCCAGAUGAACAUGAGAGGCGUCUUCCUUCAUAUCCUGUCAGAUGCUAUGGGUUCAGUUAUUGUGAUCAUCAGUGCGCUGGUUGUGUGGCUGACCGAGUGGGAGUACUCCAAAUACAUUGACCCAGCAUUAUCACUGUGUCUGGUCACCCUCAUAACCAUCAGUACCUGGCCUCUCUUAAAGGUGUCUGCUCUCAUCCUCCUACAGACAGUUCCUACACACAUUCAGGUUGAUGGCAUACAGAAGCAGCUGUUGAAUGUUGAUGGUGUUCUUGCUGUCCAUGAGUUCCAUGUUUGGCAGUUGGCAGGAGAGAGGAUUAUUGCUUCUGCUCACAUCAGAUGUCGCAACCUGAAGGAUUACAUGGUCCUAGCAGAGAAGAUCAAGAAAAUGUUUCAUGAAGAAGGUAUCCAUUCCACAACUAUACAGCCAGAGUUUGUUGAGUUUGAGGAUGAUGGAGCAUCUGCUUCUAUUGACUCAGCUGAAGACUGCAUUCUAGAUUGUCCAUCAAAGGAUAAAGAUGGGUGUGUGGCAAACACUUGCUGUGGGCUCUCCAAACAGUUUGGACCAGAAAUCCCUUAUGGAAAAUUCCAAAAAGCUAAAGAAAAUGGGGACAGUGAACUUCCCAUGUACAGGUCCCAGCCUCUGCCAACCUGACCUCACACCAAUAUAUAGGAGCCUCAGAAUAGAAGAAGGAUGCAAGACACCGAUAGAGAGAGCGAUGGUGUGCCAAAUGUACCAGUAACAACAUGUCGUCAGCGCAACAGUAUUGAAGUUCACAUCGGUAAUCAAGGCGAUAAUGUUGUUGACGGUGCCAUGGAAGGGGGCUACCUCCUUGUGCCCAC
RNAcentral lists this unclassified non-coding RNA (1409 nucleotides) under Homarus americanus (American lobster). RNAcentral describes it as "zinc transporter 1-like, transcript variant X2". The record is from RNAcentral. Lineage: Eukaryota; Metazoa; Arthropoda; Malacostraca; Decapoda; Nephropidae.